RNAcentral lists this long non-coding RNA (551 nucleotides) under Pelobates cultripes (western spadefoot toad). Lineage: Eukaryota; Metazoa; Chordata; Amphibia; Anura; Pelobatidae. The record is from RNAcentral.
CUUACAUCCAUAGAACUUGUGAGUUUUUGGACAGUUUCUGCUUAAAUUUGUUUGCAAGAUGUCAGAUUAGCCUCCCAGAGCCGCUGUUUGGAUGUAAACUGCCUCCCACCCUCAUAGAUCUUUUGCUUGAGGAUGCUCCAAAUGUUCUCAAUAGGAUUGAGGUCAGGGGAGGAUGGAGGCCACACCAUGACUUUCUCUCCUUUUAGCCCCAUAGCAGCCAUUGAUGCAGAGGUAUUCUUUGCAGCAUGAGAUGGUGCAUUGUCAUGCAUAAAGAUGAUUUUAUUACGGAAAGCAUAGUUCUUCCUUCUGUACCAGGGAAGAAAGUGGUCAGUCAGAAACUCCACAUACUUUGCAGAGGUCAUCUUUACACCUUCGGGGACCCUAAAGGGGCCGACCAGCUCUCUUCCCAUGUUUCUGGCCCAAAACAUGACUCCACCACCACCUUGCUGACGUCGCAGCGUUGCUGGUACAGGGUGGCCGUCCACCAACCAUCCACUACUCCAUCCAUCUGGACCAUCCAGGGUUGCACGGCACUCAUCAGUGAACAGGAC